Molecule: ribosomal RNA, 777 nt
Filed under: Triticum aestivum (bread wheat)
Lineage: Eukaryota; Viridiplantae; Streptophyta; Magnoliopsida; Poales; Poaceae
Description: partial small subunit ribosomal RNA
Source: RNAcentral
AUGGCGUGCGCCUUCUCCGCCUCCACCGUGUCCACGGCCGCCGCGCUCGUCGCGUCCCCGAAGCCAGCCGGGGUGCCGCAGUGCCUGUCGUUUCCCCGCGCCGCCGCCAGGCCCUCCCGCCUCGCCGCCGCCGGCUCGAGGACGGCCAGGGCCCGCAGCUUCGUCGCCCGCGCCGCAGCCGAGUACGACCUGCCGCUGGUGGGGAACAAGGCGCCGGACUUCGCGGCAGAGGCCGUGUUCGACCAGGAGUUCAUCAACGUCAAGCUAUCUGAUUACAUUGGGAAGAAGUAUGUGAUUCUUUUCUUCUACCCUCUGGACUUCACCUUCGUCUGCCCAACUGAGAUUACGGCUUUCAGCGACAGACAUGAGGAGUUCGAGAAGAUAAACACUGAAAUUCUUGGUGUUUCAGUUGAUAGUGUGUUUUCCCAUCUUGCAUGGGUGCAGACAGAGAGGAAAUCUGGUGGACUUGGUGAUCUUAAGUAUCCACUGGUUUCUGAUGUCACCAAAUCAAUCUCAAAGUCUUUUGGUGUAUUGAUCCCUGAUCAGGGAAUUGCUCUGAGAGGAUUAUUCAUCAUUGACAAGGAGGGUGUGAUUCAGCAUUCCACUAUUAACAACCUUGGUAUUGGCCGCAGUGUGGAUGAGACCUUGAGAACCCUUCAGGCUCUGCAAUACGUCCAAGAAAACCCAGACGAGGUCUGCCCGGCAGGAUGGAAACCUGGGGAAAAGUCGAUGAAGCCUGACCCUAAGGGCAGCAAGGAGUACUUCGCUGCCAUCUAG